This 735-nucleotide long non-coding RNA is filed under the name Lactuca sativa (garden lettuce). RNAcentral describes it as "long non-coding RNA (LSAT_LNC002625)". Lineage: Eukaryota; Viridiplantae; Streptophyta; Magnoliopsida; Asterales; Asteraceae. The record is from RNAcentral.
UGUUAAAUUUUGGAAAUUUUUUUGCCAAAUAAGAAUCAUGAAGAUGUGGAAUUUUGGAUUCGGUUGAUUCAGAAAAAAAAAAUUGGUAGCAUUUCAUAGAGAAAAUGUAGUAACAGGAAAACUGACGUUCAAUGACAAGGUAUGUUCUAAACUAUACAAAUAAUAUGUGUAGAUUGUAAUAAAUACCAUAUUCUUAUGUAAAGACUACGAAUUGAGUCAGGAGACUACUUUGGCUACACUUGGGAUUUUUGCAUUUAUGGGAAGAGAAACAAGAUUAUUCUUUUUUAGAAAUGAACAUAAAGGAUCUUGAUGAUCAUACCAAGGAUUUCCUCAGGUCAUUUGGUCAAUUGGUUAAACAUAUAUUUUUAAAUAAUUAAAUAAAAUCUGAAAGGUUUUCACAAAUUGUAGUUACUUGGAGUGUGGUAGCCUAUAUAUUUAUCCUGAAUUUAGCUCCCUACCUGAGUACAAGCUCUUCAUUAUGGUCAGAUGAUUUAUGAUAUUAAAUGAUGCUGAUUUAUUUAUUUAUAUUAUAAUUACAAUUACAAUUUACAGGUGGUUAUAGAGGAAAAUGGAUGGCUUGAUUUUUAUUUGCCACUUAGAUUAAAAUUCCAUCAUGAUGGAAGAAGAUCAAGACAAGAAGUUAUCCAAGCGGAAAAAGAGAUUAUUAUUUAUACUGUUCUUACUACUCGCUAUGAUGUUGUUUCUGGAUAUGCUCAUUAUAUCGGUUUUUCCUAA